AGAGAUCUUUGGCAAGAUAGCAUACUGUAUGUGUAAAACAGCAGUUCUCAAAGUGUGCCUGGAGCAGCAUCAGCAACAUCACUUGGGAAAUGAGAAAAAUGCAGAUUCUCUGAUCCCACCUCUGACCUACAGAAUCAAAAACUCUAGAAAUGGGCCUCUGUAAGCUGUGUUUCAACCAGCCCUCCAGCCCUUCAGUCUAACAGCAGGAUUUGAAAUAUGAAGUGACUGCUCACCAAACAAAAACCUCCUAAGGAAAGCUGCCCAGGAUGAAGAACUUUCCAGCUAUUGCUCUCAUUUCAUUCCUGCUCAUCUCAGAAUCAGUUCUAAAAACUGUGCAACCGUCUAUAUUCAUUUAACUUGAGGAGAAGCUAAAGCCACACUUUUCUGCUGUCCUGUGUAGAGGGAAAAAAGUUAAGAUGCACAAUUUCAUGGCUCUCUCUCCACACUCGUGCAGGGUCGGUGGGUCUGAGUGCCACCCAAGAGUUUCAGUUACCUGUGCUCAACCAUGGUCCAAAAGCAGAUGAUCCUCUGAUUCUGAUGCUACGUCAGAAGGUCAAUAGCAGCCUAACGCUAUGCCUCAAUGCCAAUGUCAUUCACCUCACUUCAUCUCAUCACACUGGGAUUUUAUCAUCUCAUGUCAUUACAAGAGCAGGACUACAAAGCUGAGCACAGAACUAUGACUAUUCAAACACGUUGAAGAUACAACAGAGAAUGAAUAGCAAUGAAAGACAGUCUUGACUUGCUGCCAAGAAAGAGAAGAGAUGAUGAACGGCCGAUUUGAGACAACUACCACUCAAAGGAUUUAUAAGAAGGAAAUGUUCUACAUUACUCAAGAAGAACAGAACAUGAGUUCAUUACACCCAUUGCAUCUUUUAGAUAGGGCUAAACUCUCAGAUUUUGAAUGCUGUCUUUGAUAAGCAUAGCUAGCUGUACUGUUGUCAUAGCUCAAGACUCAAGUACUGAUUUAUGCCUUGACCCUAAGUAACAUUCUGAAAAUGCUACUAAAUUUGAGAUCCUGAUUUGGAAGUCAAGAAUUGUAUGAUGUAACAUAAUUUUGAAGUCUAAAUACCAGUUAUUCUUGAAAACAAAACAAAACAAAAACACAGCUCCAAAGGCUGGCAAUUAAUCGUCAACAUCAACAUGUGUUUAUUAAGCCCUGCUUUGAGAGCUAUAAAAUAUAUAUUAGAACGUCUCUAUUUUAAGAAGCUCACAAACUUUCUGUAAUAAAGGUAAAGUUUAUUCUCUUCACGAACAGGGCUCCUUGCUAGUAUAUAUGCAUUGUUUAAAGCACAUUCUUCUAGGUUAUUUCAUUCUAUGGGGACUCUGAGUCUUUCAUUGCCUUUGAACUAUUUUACAACACUGUAAAUUGUAGAUAACCGAUAGCAGUACAAAAGAAUUCUCCUCUAUAGAUAUGCAAAUAAAUUCUGUCCAGCGGAAGUUCAAAG
Molecule: long non-coding RNA, 1445 nt
Filed under: Equus asinus (donkey)
Lineage: Eukaryota; Metazoa; Chordata; Mammalia; Perissodactyla; Equidae
Description: lncRNA (ENSEASG00005023662.1)
Source: RNAcentral